UAAUACGAAGGGGGCUAGCGUUGCUCGGAAUCACUGGGCGUAAAGCGCACGUAGGCGGACUCUUAAGUCGGUGGUGAAAUCCUGGAGCUCAACUCCAGAACUGCCUUCGAUACUGAGAGUCUUGAGUCCGGGAGAGGUGAGUGGAACUGCGAGUGUAGAGGUGAAAUUCGUAGAUAUUCGCAAGAACACC
RNAcentral lists this ribosomal RNA (190 nucleotides) under uncultured bacterium. RNAcentral's name for it is "partial 16S ribosomal RNA". It matches the Rfam family "Bacterial small subunit ribosomal RNA", at positions 521 to 710 of the family's 1533-position model. The record is from RNAcentral.